GAUACACGAAGAACCUUACCUGGCCUUGACAUGGUAGGAACCCUUAAGAGAUUAGGGGGUGCUAGCUUGCUAGAACCUACACACAGGUGCUGCACGGCUGUCGUCAGCUCGUGUCGUGAGAUGUUGGGUUAAGUCCCGCAACGAGCGCAACCCUCGUCCUUAGUUGCUAACAGUUCGGCUGAGCACUCUAGGGAGACUGCCUUCGCAAGGAGGAGGAAGGUGAGGACGACGUCAAGUCAUCAUGGCCCUUACGGCCAGGGCUACACACGUGCUACAAUGGGGCGUACAGAGAGCUGCGAUACCGCGAGGUGGAGCCAAUCUCUUAAAGCGUCUCUCAGUUCGGAUUGUUCUCUGCAACUCGAGAACAUGAAGCUGGAAUCACUAGUAAUCGCAGAUCAGCUAUGCUGCGGUGAAUACGUUCCCGGGUCUU
This 430-nucleotide ribosomal RNA is filed under the name uncultured Sulfuricurvum sp. Its description in RNAcentral is "bacterial SSU rRNA". It matches the Rfam family "Bacterial small subunit ribosomal RNA", at positions 956 to 1382 of the family's 1533-position model. The record is from RNAcentral. Lineage: Bacteria; Pseudomonadati; Campylobacterota; Epsilonproteobacteria; Campylobacterales; Sulfurimonadaceae.